Molecule: long non-coding RNA, 263 nt
Organism: Haliotis rubra (blacklip abalone)
Lineage: Eukaryota; Metazoa; Mollusca; Gastropoda; Lepetellida; Haliotidae
Exons: 5
Source: RefSeq, a predicted model, not a curated record
CUUUAUCAUAUUUAGCUUCACCUAUGCAUGCCUUCUUGGAGCAGUAUCUGGGCAUUUUGCAACCUACAGCUUGCUGUCCGCUAGUGUAAUGAUGGGACUCACCUACCUGUCUGUCGCCAUCUUUUCCGUAAAGGCUGACAUCAACAUGAAGAAGGGGCUAAUUUUUGUCACCGUCGUGGUGUUCGUCGUCACUGGCGCCAUCUGCAUCGGCACUUACUUCGCCUUUGGACUUUACAAGCUUCGGGACACUGCCAUUGGUGGAG